RNAcentral lists this ribosomal RNA (473 nucleotides) under uncultured bacterium. RNAcentral's name for it is "bacterial SSU rRNA". It matches the Rfam family "Bacterial small subunit ribosomal RNA", at positions 335 to 801 of the family's 1533-position model. The record is from RNAcentral.
ACUCCUACGGGAGGCAGCAGUAGGGAAUCUUCCACAAUGGGCACAAGCCUGAUGGAGCAACACCGCGUGAGUGAAGAAGGGUUUCGGCUCGUAAAGCUCUGUUGUUAAAGAAGAACACGUAUGAGAGUAACUGUUCAUACGUUGACGGUAUUUAACCAGAAAGUCACGGCUAACUACGUGCCAGCAGCCGCGGUAAUACGUAGGUGGCAAGCGUUAUCCGGAUUUAUUGGGCGUAAAGAGAGUGCAGGCGGUUUUCUAAGUCUGAUGUGAAAGCCUUCGGCUUAACCGGAGAAGUGCAUCGGAAACUGGAUAACUUGAGUGCAGAAGAGGGUAGUGGAACUCCAUGUGUAGCGGUGGAAUGCGUAGAUAUAUGGAAGAACACCAGUGGCGAAGGCGGCUACCUGGUCUGCAACUGACGCUGAGACUCGAAAGCAUGGGUAGCGAACAGGAUUAGAUACCCUGGUAGGAUAGCG